This 426-nucleotide ribosomal RNA is filed under the name uncultured bacterium. RNAcentral describes it as "bacterial SSU rRNA". It matches the Rfam family "Bacterial small subunit ribosomal RNA", at positions 64 to 507 of the family's 1533-position model. The record is from RNAcentral.
GAACGAGAAAGUGGAGCAAUCCAUGAGUAAAGUGGCGACCGGGUGAGUAACACGUGACUAACCUGCCCUAGAGUGGGGGAUAACCUCGGGAAACCGGGGCUAAUACCGCAUAACAUCACGAGGGGAAGAUCCUUGUGAUCAAAGGAGCAAUUCGCUCAAGGAGGGGGUCGCGGCUGAUUAGCUAGUUGGUGAGGUAACGGCUCACCAAGGCGAAGAUCAGUAGCCGGCCUGAGAGGGCGCACGGCCACACUGGAACUGAAACACGGUCCAGACUCCUACGGGAGGCAGCAGUGGGGAAUUUUGCGCAAUGGGGGAAACCCUGACGCAGCAACGCCGCGUGGAGGAUGAAGUCCCUUGGGAUGUAAACUCCUUUCGAUCGGGACGAUAAUGACGGUACCGGAAGAAGAAGCACCGGCUAACUCUGUG